GAGUUUGAUCUUGGCUCAGAUUGAACGCUGGCGGCAGGCCUAACGCAUGCAAGUCGAGCGGUAGAGAGAAGCUUGCUUCUCUUGAGAGCGGCGGACGGGUGAGUAAUGCCUAGGAAUCUGCCUGGUAGUGGGGGAUAACGCUCGGAAACGGACGCUAAUACCGCAUACGUCCUACGGGAGAAAGCAGGGGACCUUCGGGCCUUGCGCUAUCAGAUGAGCCUAGGUCGGAUUAGCUAGUUGGUGAGGUAAUGGCUCACCAAGGCGACGAUCCGUAACUGGUCUGAGAGGAUGAUCAGUCACACUGGAACUGAGACACGGUCCAGACUCCUACGGGAGGCAGCAGUGGGGAAUAUUGGACAAUGGGCGAAAGCCUGAUCCAGCCAUGCCGCGUGUGUGAAGAAGGUCUUCGGAUUGUAAAGCACUUUAAGUUGGGAGGAAGGGCAGUAAAUUAAUACUUUGCUGUUUUGACGUUACCGACAGAAUAAGCACCGGCUAACUCUGUGCCAGCACG
RNAcentral lists this ribosomal RNA (511 nucleotides) under uncultured bacterium. Its description in RNAcentral is "bacterial SSU rRNA". It matches the Rfam family "Bacterial small subunit ribosomal RNA", at positions 9 to 515 of the family's 1533-position model. The record is from RNAcentral.